RNAcentral lists this transfer RNA (71 nucleotides) under Bos taurus (domestic cattle). It matches the Rfam family "tRNA". Rfam says of the family: Transfer RNA (tRNA) molecules are approximately 80 nucleotides in length. Their secondary structure includes four short double-helical elements and three loops (D, anti-codon, and T loops). RNAcentral also lists the same sequence under 1 other name. Lineage: Eukaryota; Metazoa; Chordata; Mammalia; Artiodactyla; Bovidae. The record is from Rfam by way of RNAcentral.
UCCUGAGGACUCAGAUGGUAAAGAGUCUGCCUAUAAUGCAGGAGACCCAGGUUCGAUCCCUGGGUUGGGAA